CAAGCAUGUCAUUUUGUCAGAGAAACCUUUCCACCCUCCGACACAAGUGACACCUGAGGAACUGCCAGGGAUCUAUUAUUUUAGAGGAUGGACAGGCCCUUCUAGAAAGUGUUUCUGUGAAACAGUGGUCAGGAUUGGAAGAUGGUUCUGAAAACGACAUCAAGCCCAUCUUGCUAAUUACUUUCCAGGAAACUUGGGAGAGUAGAUGCUCCAAGCACCUGCGAUUAUGGGAGGAGGAAGAAGAGGAAGAAAAAGUGUAAAGUUUAUCUCCAAAGCGCUUAAAGGUCAUCAAGUCAGACAUGCCAAGAUCCACAUUUGUACUUCACCUUGAGGAACUGACUGCGUGGCUCAGCACUGUGAAGUUUUCCUAGAUGUGUCUGCACAAUGCCUGGCGCACAAGGGGAGCUCAGUACAUGUGUAUCCUUUCUUCUCUCUGCUCUCACUAAAACCAGCAUCUGUAACCUGAAAACCUGUCUAAUCAGAACUUACCUAUUCUAUUUGGAAGUAAUAACUGGAGGGUAGACCUCUUUAAUGAGGUUCCUGUCUCCAUCCCCUCCUCAUGUUGGCUGUUCUAACUCCUGCACUUUCCAAAGUAUGAUGAUGUUUCCUUUGCCUUUGGUCAGAAGCCUCACAUUGGAGAUUGGGGAGGGAAGACCCAGAAGCCUUAGCGCCAAACCAAACCAAACCAACAAUA
Long non-coding RNA from Suricata suricatta (meerkat), 694 nucleotides. RefSeq lists it as uncharacterized. The transcript has 3 exons. The record is from RefSeq and is a predicted model, not a curated record. Lineage: Eukaryota; Metazoa; Chordata; Mammalia; Carnivora; Herpestidae.